Molecule: long non-coding RNA, 438 nt
Organism: Colossoma macropomum (tambaqui)
Lineage: Eukaryota; Metazoa; Chordata; Actinopteri; Characiformes; Serrasalmidae
Exons: 4
Source: RefSeq, a predicted model, not a curated record
GGAUGUGAGCUCGUGAGGACGACACGACACAACACGACAGCAGGCUGCACGUGGGCCCAAUUUAGCUUGAUCCUCGUAUAAUUGAGUCCCUCAGUUCGCUGAGUCGUGUUUAUUGCGCUUUAUUGUGCGGCUGGGAUGAUUUAGCUUUCAUGCACUAAUAAUGUGAAGGGCUGGAAAGGGUUAAUGCGGCUAACGGAGACAAAAGGGAAGCUAAUGGGCUACAAUGCUUUACAGGUUGGCUUCCAGCUGAGGCACUGCCUCUUUUCUCUGACUAUGCAGAUGCCUUUGGGCGCAGCAGCCUCAGACCUGGAGGAGCAGCGAGCUGAGCCGCCGCGGUCGACGGUCUAAAGGAGACCACCUGGGACCACUCUGAGCUCUAAGAUGAAGUUGGCACAACUGGAAGCUGCUGCAUGAAUAAAGUUCUUGAAUGCAUUGUGA